AUGAGAGAGGCAUGGACUCGUGUGAAACCAGCUAGAGACCCUAACCGCAUUAGAGCUUUUCUUCAGACCUACAAGGAAAUUAAAAAUUGGAUGCACUGGAAGUCGGCGGGGCAGAUCUUGCCGCAGUUGUUCAGGAUGAGGCUAAGGUCGAUGGGGACGUUGAGGUGGAUCCCGAGCACGUUGGCCUUGAUGGCGGUGCAAAGGCAGACGGCGGCGUCCAGGUUGACGAGCCCGUCGAGGAGCGAGCAGCAGGGCUCCGUUGGCGGCACGCCGAUCUUGGCCUUCACCAGGUUCAGCACGUUGGCACACACGUGCAGCUUGAGCGCGUUCUGGGGGCACGACCCGUAG
RNAcentral lists this ribosomal RNA (348 nucleotides) under Triticum aestivum (bread wheat). RNAcentral describes it as "partial small subunit ribosomal RNA". The record is from RNAcentral. Lineage: Eukaryota; Viridiplantae; Streptophyta; Magnoliopsida; Poales; Poaceae.